GUAGGAGUCCUGCUUCUGCUGGCUGGUUUUCUGAGCUUUUGGUUGCUGAUCAGAAAGAAGCACAGAAAAGGAAACAAGCAGGAAACCACGGGGCUCCAGCCACAGAGACCUCCUGAUGUGGUGACGUCUGAAGCACCAGGGCGGGGUGAAGCACCG
Molecule: long non-coding RNA, 156 nt
Organism: Megalops cyprinoides (Indo-Pacific tarpon)
Lineage: Eukaryota; Metazoa; Chordata; Actinopteri; Elopiformes; Megalopidae
Exons: 3
Source: RefSeq, a predicted model, not a curated record